CCUACGGGAGGCAGCAGUGGGGAAUCUUAGACAAUGGGGGAAACCCUGAUCUAGCGAUGCCGCGUGUGUGACGAAGGCCUUAGGGUCGUAAAGCACUUUCGCCAGGGAUGAUAAUGACAGUACCUGGUAAAGAAACCCCGGCUAACUCCGUGCCAGCAGCCGCGGUAAUACGGAGGGGGUUAGCGUUGUUCGGAAUUACUGGGCGUAAAGCGCACGUAGGCGGACUAUUAAGUUAGAGGUGAAAUCCCGGGGCUCAACCCCGGAACUGCCUUUAAUACUGGUAGUCUUGAGUUCGAGAGAGGUGAGUGGAAUUCCAAGUGUAGAGGUGAAAUUCGUAGAUAUUUGGAGGAACACCAGUGGCGAAGGCGGCUCACUGGCUCGAUACUGACGCUGAGGUGCGAAAGCGUGGGGAGCAAACAGGAUUAGAUACCCUAGUAGUC
This 440-nucleotide ribosomal RNA is filed under the name uncultured Paracoccaceae bacterium. RNAcentral's name for it is "bacterial SSU rRNA". It matches the Rfam family "Bacterial small subunit ribosomal RNA", at positions 338 to 795 of the family's 1533-position model. The record is from RNAcentral. Lineage: Bacteria; Pseudomonadati; Pseudomonadota; Alphaproteobacteria; Rhodobacterales; Paracoccaceae.